This 730-nucleotide long non-coding RNA is filed under the name Fukomys damarensis (Damara mole-rat). RNAcentral describes it as "lncRNA (ENSFDAG00000021980.1)". The record is from RNAcentral. Lineage: Eukaryota; Metazoa; Chordata; Mammalia; Rodentia; Bathyergidae.
CUUGUUUCCUUUUCUGUUCCCUUCCCAAUUCAUAGAAUAAUUACUGCCCUUGCCUACAACCUGAAAUAUCAAUACACAUUGCCUCCAACAGCUAAUGAAAUGCUUCUUCCAGACUGGUAAGCGUGGGUUUGGCUGAGGAGGUGUGCGUGCGUGUGUGUGUGUGUGUGUGUGUGUGUGAGAGAGAGAGAGAGAGAGAGAGAGAGAGAGAGAGAGAGAUCUUGAUGCUUGCUUGCAAAACGUGCUUUCAAGAGAAGCAGUGAUUCACUUGGGAGCGAAGGGUUCGAUUCCCAAGGACCUCAAACAGAGGUGUAGAAGAAGGUCAGAGAGACGCAUGGGAGAAGCUGAACUCACACUUACCUUUGAGCAGCAAACGAGCUCGCAUCAGCUGAAGGCUAUCGCCUGGGACUCCUCGGAAGCAGGAGCAGCCGCCACCACGCGAAGGCACUGGGGCACAGCCAGAGCAGAGCGCCGAGGUCCCCUCCCAGGGCUUGUUAACACUGUAACCCGGCACUCGGAAGGAAGCAGCUCCCACUGCCCAGACCUACCUCACGGCACAGCAGAUGACUCCCUGCCUUCUACACACAGUUGGAGUUCCGCUGGAAAACUGGAUUUAGAGGGGCUCUCUCGCUGCCGUAAGUCAGAGCAUCUAGAGUGGGCUAGCCGAGACCAGAGUGGGUGCAAGCAGGGCGAGUGCAGAGGAAGAUGCUGGGAAAUCACCAGAAUUGGAUAG